RNAcentral lists this long non-coding RNA (913 nucleotides) under Pan troglodytes (chimpanzee). RNAcentral's name for it is "lincRNA". Lineage: Eukaryota; Metazoa; Chordata; Mammalia; Primates; Hominidae. The record is from RNAcentral.
UUUAUUUUUUAAUUUUAAAUUAUCUUAAAUAGAUUAGAGAGUAAUGAUAAAAUGUAUAGUCAGUUUAAAUUAAAAUAGAAAUUUAAGUAAUUACCAAUUGGAUAAUUGGAUAUUUUAUCUGUAAUGUCAGAUGUUUAUUACCCUUAUUUAUAGAGGUAGAUGCUAAUUUUGGUUCAUUAACAUUAUUAUACUAAUUCAAGAAAUACUUUAUCAUUUUAAUUUUUCAUUAAGGUACCUUAAAAUUGUCAUUUAAAAGUACUUUUUCAAAGUUCAACUUACCAUUUUGUAAUAUUAACCUAUUUUCUAAAAUUACAGACCCAUUUUAUUAAAGUCUUACUGUUGUGUGAUUAAUGUUCUACCCUAUCUUAGUAAAUUUACAAAAUGCUGUGUUUACACUUAGUUCUCAUUGAGCUGUUACUCUCCCGAGUCUGGAACUUUUUUCAUAAAGCUAAAUUCAUAGUAUUUCAGUUACUUUCUAUAGCUGUGUUGCUCAAUAAUAGCAUCCAGUGAACUUUAGUUUUUUUUGUUUUUCCUGUAUUUUAUUAAAAUAUUUCAUCUAAAGAUGACUGAAGUGAUGUAGAGAUACUUGUAUUAAUUUGUAUCCCCCAUCUACUUUUGGAUCCCUAUUGCAUUGCAAACCUAUAAAUCUCUUUUAACUUGAUUGAGAUAGAAACGUUAAUGAGACUUGAGCUGUCAAUCAAUAAAGAAGAUGUAGAUUCAUAUGUGGUGUCCUAGAAUUUCCACUCCAUGUAUAGUUGGAACUACAUCAAGAUCAGCUUUAAUCUAUAAUUUCCUUAUUCUGUAAACUGUGUAAUUGUUUCAUAAUAUUAACUUUGAGGAUGAUGAAUGGUGCUGAUGCUCCUAAAUUUGUAGGUAAUGAUUGAUAUAUAUGUCAAUAAAAUACUUUCCUAAU